This 117-nucleotide non-coding RNA is filed under the name Gorilla gorilla gorilla (western lowland gorilla). The record is from Rfam by way of RNAcentral. Lineage: Eukaryota; Metazoa; Chordata; Mammalia; Primates; Hominidae.
GCCGGGCAUGGUGGCUCACGCCUGUAAUCCCAGCAUUUUGGGAGGCUGAGGCGGGUGGAUCACUUGAGGUCAGGAGUUCGAGACCAGCCUGGCCAACAUGGUGAAACCCCGUCUCUA